AGGAUGCAAAUAUCGCCCCUAAGCUACAAA
This 30-nucleotide non-coding RNA is filed under the name Mus musculus (house mouse). The record is from RNAcentral. Lineage: Eukaryota; Metazoa; Chordata; Mammalia; Rodentia; Muridae.